This 1358-nucleotide ribosomal RNA is filed under the name uncultured bacterium. RNAcentral describes it as "bacterial SSU rRNA". It matches the Rfam family "Bacterial small subunit ribosomal RNA", at positions 8 to 1383 of the family's 1533-position model. The record is from RNAcentral.
AGAGUUUGAUCCUGGCUCAGGACGAACGCUGGCGGCGCGCCUAACACAUGCAAGUCGAACGAGCGAGAGAGAAGCUUGCUUUCUCGAGCGAGUGGCGAACGGGUGAGUAACGCGUGAGGAACUUGCCUCAAAGAGGGGGACAACAGUUGGAAACGACUGCUAAUACCGCAUAAGCCCACGGUGCCGCAUGGCACAGAGGGAAAAGGAGCAAUCCGCUUUGAGAUGGCCUCGCGUCCGAUUAGCUAGUUGGUGAGGUAACGGCCCACCAAGGCAACGAUCGGUAGCCGGACUGAGAGGUUGAACGGCCACAUUGGGACUGAGACACGGCCCAGACUCCUACGGGAGGCAGCAGUGGGGAAUAUUGCACAAUGGGGGAAACCCUGAUGCAGCGACGCCGCGUGGAGGAAGAAGGUCUUUGGAUUGUAAACUCCUGUUGUUGGGGAAGAUAAUGACGGUACCCAACAAGGAAGUGACGGCUAACUACGUGCCAGCAGCCGCGGUAAAACGUAGGUCACAAGCGUUGUCCGGAAUUACUGGGUGUAAAGGGAGCGCAGGCGGGAAGACAAGUUGGAAGUGAAAUCUAUGGGCUCAACCCAUAAACUGCUUUCAAAACUGUUUUUCUUGAGUAGUGCAGAGGUAGGCGGAAUUCCCGGUGUAGCGGUGGAAUGCGUAGAUAUCGGGAGGAACACCAGUGGCGAAGGCGGCCUACUGGGCACCAACUGACGCUGAGGCUCGAAAGUGUGGGUAGCAAACAGGAUUAGAUACCCUGGUAGUCCACACCGUAAACGAUGAUUACUAGGUGUGGGAGGGAUGACCCCCUUCAGUCCCCGCAGUUAACACAAAAAGUAAUCCACCCUGGGGAGUACGACCGCAAGGUUGAAAUUCAAAGGAAUUGACGGGGGCCCGCACAAGCAGUGGAGUAUGUGGUUUAAUUCGAGGCAACGCGAAGAACCUUACCAAGUCUUGACAUCCCUUGACAGGCAUAGAAAUAUGUUUUCUCUUCGGAGCAAGGAGACAGGUGGUGCAUGGUUGUCGUCAGCUCGUGUCGUGAGAUGUUGGGUUAAGUCCCGCAACGAGCGCAACCCUUAUGGUCAGUUACUACGCAAGAGGACUCUGGCCAGACUGCCGUUGACAAAACGGAGGAAGGUGGGGAUGACGUCAAAUCAUCAUGCCCUUUAUGACUUGGGCUACACACGUACUACAAUGGCGUUAAACAAAGAGAAGCAAGACCGCGAGGUGGAGCAAAACUCAGAAACAACGUCCCAGUUCGGACUGCAGGUUGCAACUCGCCUGCACGAAGUCGGAAUUGCUAGUAAUCGUGGAUCAGCAUGCCACGGUGAAUACGUUCCCGGGCCUUG